GAACUCUGGAGAAUCUCCAAUGUGGAGUGCCGAAGGUGCAAGACGGCAUCAGCCGUCGAAUCUCUCAGGCAAAAGGACAGAGUA
This 84-nucleotide non-coding RNA is filed under the name chicken gut metagenome. RNAcentral's name for it is "Glycine riboswitch". It matches the Rfam family "Glycine riboswitch aptamer", at positions 8 to 87 of the family's 94-position model. Rfam says of the family: This family represents the bacterial glycine riboswitch. Glycine riboswitches usually consist of two metabolite-binding aptamers domains with similar structures in tandem. The aptamers cooperatively bind glycine to regulate the expression of downstream genes. The record is from RNAcentral.